This is a long non-coding RNA of Anguilla anguilla (European eel), 403 nucleotides long. RefSeq lists it as uncharacterized. The transcript is spliced from 3 exons. Lineage: Eukaryota; Metazoa; Chordata; Actinopteri; Anguilliformes; Anguillidae. The record is from RefSeq and is a predicted model, not a curated record.
AGCCAGUAAACCUAAGCAAGGAAAUGCGGUCCAAAAGAGAAACCGAAACUUAACGGCCAUUUUAAAAACGGAAGAGAAAGAAUCCCUAGAAAAGAAGGAAUUAAAAUAAAUGUAAAAAAACGGAGUGAACAGCCUGUUGUGGAGUGGAACUGAGGUAAGACAAGCUGAAGGUAAAGGGGAGCGGGGAGGAAUAGGAAUCUUCAGGUCCGCCAAUUUGGGUCAGAACCCACUUGUGAAUCUGAUCUGGUGUGUUCAGGUGUCCUGAGACAGGGGGCGCUGUUUCUAAAAUGAGUUCCUCAGAGGAGACCAAGACUGACGAUGGAACCCACGGCCCUGCGAGAAAGAGGGUCCGGGUAGAGAGGGCAGGGUCACCUGUACCCAGCUGUCUGUCUAUGAAGAGUGA